RNAcentral lists this small RNA (150 nucleotides) under Paenibacillus selenitireducens. Its description in RNAcentral is "c-di-AMP sequence". It matches the Rfam family "c-di-AMP riboswitch aptamer (ydaO/yuaA leader)". From Rfam's summary of the family: This family represents a conserved RNA structure found upstream of the ydaO and yuaA genes in Bacillus subtilis and related genes in other bacteria. The ydaO/yuaA element is thought to act as a genetic "off" switch for the ydaO and yuaA genes in its native state. It is believed that the element may be triggered during osmotic shock leading to activation of ydaO, a predicted amino acid transporter gene, and members of the yuaA-yubG operon which code for KtrA and KtrB K+ transporters. The record is from Rfam by way of RNAcentral. Lineage: Bacteria; Bacillati; Bacillota; Bacilli; Caryophanales; Paenibacillaceae.
GCGUCUUUAUCGCUUAAAUCCCCUACAUGGGGAUACGGGGGAACCAACCGCAGCCUAUGAUGGCUCCGUGGGGUGAAUCUCAAUCUGAGUAGGGCGACUCUCACGCCCGAAUCCGUCAGCUAACCUCGUAAGCGUAUCGAGAGAGGCAAC